Molecule: unclassified non-coding RNA, 2011 nt
Filed under: Leishmania donovani
Lineage: Eukaryota; Euglenozoa; Kinetoplastea; Trypanosomatida; Trypanosomatidae
Description: gene:LdHU3.35.5080(CDS-product:nucleoside_diphosp hate_kinase_putative)
Source: RNAcentral
AAAGUCUAAGUUGUUUCCGUCACUUCCAGGUGCGUGAGGACGUGCACACGACAUCGCGGAGCAGCGUCAACACCUCGCACUAUUUCUUGCACCUUCGGCACAAGACGCCGCACAGCCUUCACAGCCACACACGCACACACACACGCACGAAGAAAAAUGGUGGGCGAACAAAGGGACACGUUUGUGGUGGAGUACUUCGAUCCACAAGCGAGCCUCUCUCGCACAUACCAGUUUUGCUACUUUACAGACGACAAAACGAUAGAGAUGUACAACCUCAAGACGAAGCGCUUGUUUUUGAAGCGCUGCGCCUAUCCGUCACUGAGCCCGAACGAGCUUUACGUGGGGGCGACGAUCAACGUCUUUUCCCGUCCCCUUCGCAUUAUCGACUAUGGCGACGACGCAACGCGCAAGCGGCUUACAGCGAACUCCGGUGAGUGCAUGAUUACCGUUGACAUGCAGCACCAUAGCGCGGCAGCGGGCUCCGUAAUUGAGGCCCUGACAACGCAAGGCCUGCGGAUUACGUUCAUCCGCUUAGUAGAGCUUUCGAAGAGCCUCGCUGCCCGAGUUGCAUCAAAGGCGCAGCGGUGCCUAGUUGUGCUUGCGAGCGGCGCCGGAGCCCGUGAAAAGGUGGCCUCGGUGGCGGCUUCUUUUUCCGCCGCCGUGACACAGAUUUCGAGCGAGAGUGCUGUGCAGGAGCUGAAGGAGGCAGUCAUGGGACCUGGCGAGUCCACAGCGGCGCUGAAGAACUGCGCCGUGUGCGUCAUCAAGCCACAUGCGAUCACUAGCGGCCAUCAGGGUCCCAUUCUUCAUCGCUUGGUCGAAGAGGGGUUUUACAUUAGUGCCCUUGGCUCUUACCAGCUGACAGUGGCGGAUGCCGAGGACUUUUUAGAGGUCUACAACGGAGUUCUGCCGGAGUACAAGAAGCUGGUGGAGCAGAUGUCGUCCGGCCCGUGCUGGGCCGUUGAGGUUUGCGCCGAGAACGCCGUGCCGGCGCUGCGGGCGGUGUGUGGCCCGCAGGACCCGGAAGUGUGCCACGUUCUUUUCCCUCACACGCUCCGGUCCAUGUACGGCGUGGACCGCAUCCGGAACGCUGUCCACUGUACCGACCUGGAAGAGGAUGGCCCCCUUGAAUCAGAGUUCUUCUUUUCUUUGCUGCAGAACAAGCAGUGAUCUGCUUAUCGCAAGAUGACUGGAGAAGGGGGCGAGCUGUGUGUCGGGACGCCAAAGGCACGAGAGGGGUUUACGCACUGGAAUACUCAUCAUGCCUUGUCUCUGUAUCCCACCCUCUUUCUGCUCCUCUCGAGAUGCACGUGCUCCGGCGACAGCCAGGACGUGUCCAGCGCACGGCAUUCCUGUUUCGUUUCCCCCCCCCCCCUCGGUGCUCUUGGAUGUAAAUAGCCUGACGCGCGAAGCGCAAGCUGAUUGCAGGCUACUGUAGGUGACGGAGGCCUACUCCUUUCGCACUGCCUCUUCAAAUGCUUCGCAAGAGCCGGCACAUUUUCUCCUGUGUGUGUUGAUUCCUUUCCCCCCUUGCCAUGUAAGAACAAAGGUGUCUUAUCGCCAAGCAAUAAUGAAACGACCAAAGAUGUGACUUCUGCAGCUGUGCUGCAUAGGUGUGUAAGGUGUGCGGCCUCGUCUGCUUCCACGGUAGUGAGCAACGGAUGCAUUCCCCGGAGCCACUGCACGAAAAUCACACACACACACACACACACACACACACACACACACACACACACACAGGGGUCGGUGAUGGGGGAGAGGGGGGAUCACAGGACAUAUCCCUGACUAGCUUUCCUAGCAGAUUUGGUUGUCUUCCCCUCCCUGAUUCAUUCUUCUUUUCCUUGCCCAUGUGCACGCUUGCACUCCUCUCUGUGUACGCGUGAAACUUGCUCUACCUCUACUUGCUCAUGCUCUACGGCUUCUUCUCCCUCUCCUCUCCUCCUGUGCCGUGCGCUUAUUCUUUCGUGUGGGGUGGUGGUGUUGGUCGUGGCCUGAUCACUAAACGAAACAG